CGGGCAAUGCCAUUGGCAUUGCCCGGUAGCUACGUUCGGACGGGAUAACCGCUGAAAGCAUCUAAGCGGGAAGCCCCCUUCAAGAUGAGAUCUCACUUGGACCUUGAGUCCACUAAAGAGCCGUUCAAGACCAGGACGUUGAUAGGCUGGGUGUGUAAGCGUUGUGAGGCGUUGAGCUAACCAGUACUAAUUGCUCGUGAGGCUUGACCAU
Molecule: non-coding RNA, 211 nt
Filed under: Motiliproteus sp. MSK22-1
Lineage: Bacteria; Pseudomonadati; Pseudomonadota; Gammaproteobacteria; Oceanospirillales; Oceanospirillaceae
Description: Bacterial large subunit ribosomal RNA
Rfam family: Bacterial large subunit ribosomal RNA
Source: Rfam by way of RNAcentral